UGGGCAACCUGCCCCUCUCUCUGGGAUAACCCCCGGGGAAACCGGAGCUAAUACCGGAUACUCUCGGCCGAUCACAUGGCUGGCCGAGGAAAGGUCCGCCGGUCAGGGAUGGGCCCGCGGCCUAUCAGCUUGUUGGCGAGGUAACGGCUCACCAAGGCGACGACGGGUAGCUGGUCUGAGAGGACGACCAGCCACACUGGAACUGAGAUACGGUCCAGACUCCUACGGGAGGCA
Molecule: ribosomal RNA, 234 nt
Filed under: uncultured bacterium
Lineage: Bacteria
Description: partial 16S ribosomal RNA
Rfam family: Bacterial small subunit ribosomal RNA
Source: RNAcentral